CAUCUGCCUGCACAACCGAAGGCUGCAUUUUCAGGACCGCAUUUCUAGGACCCUACAUUUUAGUGACAACACCACCUACCGAAUUACAGGACCAGUGACCGCAUGCUUUUCGGAAGAGAUGGACGACAUUCAGAGUAAACACAUAACAAUCCAAGAAGGAAGAUCCUUUCGUGAACUUAAGAGAUGCACCACAUGCUGCAAGGAGCUCCUCUGCCCGUUCUGCAGCUCUGCUUUGUUUCACCCAACAAAGUGGAGCAAAGUGAAAUCCCAUUUGGAGAGCCAUUUCAAAUGCAGUUCUCUAUGAAGACCAUCAUAUAUGGCCUGGCUGGGCUGCAGAAUUUCUCUGCGGGAUGUUGAGAAGGCCGCCUUCUCUGGUCCGGAUUAUCAUCACAUUGGUUAUGUUCUCCAUUUACUAUUUUAGUAAAGUGGAAGAAAAGAGAAAAGAGGGGAGAGCAUCCAUU
Ctenopharyngodon idella (grass carp) is the source of this 461-nucleotide long non-coding RNA. RefSeq lists it as uncharacterized. The transcript is spliced from 4 exons. Lineage: Eukaryota; Metazoa; Chordata; Actinopteri; Cypriniformes; Xenocyprididae. The record is from RefSeq and is a predicted model, not a curated record.